Molecule: long non-coding RNA, 1316 nt
Filed under: Homo sapiens (human)
Lineage: Eukaryota; Metazoa; Chordata; Mammalia; Primates; Hominidae
Description: HSALNT0275578
Source: RNAcentral
CUGCGAUGGCGUUCACGUCCAUCUCGCUCAUCAUCACUGACACGUCCUUGUUAUCUGGAAAGAGCACGGAAAUGCAGCGGCCUCCUUGAAGAUCCUGAUAAAUGAAGAAAAGACACAGAGAAGGAUGUGACAUGCCUGGGCCAUGGAGCACUCUGAGAUCUCAUCGGGGACACCACUGCCCACACCUCCAUCCCGUCCUGCGCAGGCCGACACUCACUGACGUUGAAGCCUGCCUUCAGUGCCUGGAUGUCUGCGGCCACCCCAGACAUGCGGAACCUUUCAAGCGGCCAGAACCCCUGCGAAUCACACAUGACCUUUGCGGGAAGGUCAGGAGGCCUGUCUAAGUCAAGUCAGCACGGGAAGGGCAUCUGACAGAUUCCAGGCCUGGGGUUAGCAGCCUGUGCCCCCGGCUGGGAGGUCAGACCCGGUGUUGGUCCUGCCACCCACGUGCUGUGUGAGAGGAGAAACCCUGACCCCUGCCCUGGGCCUUAACACACAUCCGACGAAUGAAUGAAGGGUUGCCUCAGCACCGGUGCUCCAAGUCCUGCGAUGCUAAGUGCUUUUCUCCUCUGAGUCUUAGCAAUGGACAAUUCCAAUACCUCCACACAGGACACUAGAGACUGCGUCGUAGGAGACUGGGACACAUAUCCACUUUGCUGGCUUGAUGAAGUAAACUGCUAAGUUGAGGAAGCCCACAUGGCAAGGAACUGUGGGCAGCCUUCAGCCAACAGGCAGCAAAAAGCUGAGCUCCUCGGAGCUACAGCCUCAAGGAAGUUACUUCUGCUAACAACCUGAAAAAGCUUGGAAGCUAGUUUCUCUCUAGUGGAAUUUUUAGGGAAGAGCAUGGCCCAGGCAAGAUAAAUAAUGCAGGAAACUGCAUAUCUUCUGGUUUACAUGAAGAUGGAGUGCUAAUGGAAAUGCCCAAAACCUUCAGAGAUUGACACGCUGUCAUUUUCCAUUUCCGUUCCUGGAUCUACGGAGUCUUCUAAGAGAUUUUGCAAUGAGGAGAAGCACUGUUUUCAAACUAUAUAACUGAGCCUUAUUUAUAAUUAGGGAUAUUAUCAAAAUAUGUAACCAUGAGGCCCCUCAGGUCCUGAUCAGUCAGAAUGGAUGCUUUCACCAGCAGACCCGGCCAUGUGGCUGCUCGGUCCUGGGUGCUCGCUGCUGUGCGAGACAUUAGCCCUUUAGUUAUGAGCCUGUGGGAACUUCAGGGGUUCCCAGUGGGGAGAGCAGUGGCAGUGGGAGGCAUCUGGGGGCCAAAGGUCAGUGGCAGGGGGUAUUUCAGUAUUAUACAACUGCUGUGACCAGACUUGUAU